GAUGAACGCUAGCUACAGGCUUAACACAUGCAAGUCGAGGGGCAGCAUGGUCUUAGCUUGCUAAGGCCGAUGGCGACCGGCGCACGGGUGAGUAACGCGUAUCCAACCUGCCUUACACUCUUGGACAGCCUUCUGAAAGGGAGAUUAAUACAAGAUGUUAUCAUGAGUAAGCAUUUUCGCAUGAUUAAAGGUUUACCGGUGUAAGAUGGGGAUGCGUUCCAUUAGAUAGUAGGCGGGGUAACGCCCACCUAGUCUUCGAUGGAUAGGGGUUCUGAGAGGAAGUCCCCCACAUUGGAACUGAGACACGGUCCAAACUCCUACGGGAGGCAGCAGUGAGGAUAUUGGUCAAGUGGGCGAGAGCCUGAACC
This 368-nucleotide ribosomal RNA is filed under the name uncultured bacterium. RNAcentral describes it as "bacterial SSU rRNA". It matches the Rfam family "Bacterial small subunit ribosomal RNA", at positions 28 to 389 of the family's 1533-position model. The record is from RNAcentral.